Long non-coding RNA from Triticum aestivum (bread wheat), 966 nucleotides. RefSeq lists it as uncharacterized. The record is from RefSeq and is a predicted model, not a curated record. NCBI's taxonomy places the organism in Eukaryota, Viridiplantae, Streptophyta, Magnoliopsida, Poales, Poaceae. The transcript has 3 exons.
UCUUGUGGGCCUGCCCACGUUCUCUCAUGUGACCCCACCUUCCCAUUAUUCCUUUCUUUAGAGGCAGAAAGCACCGGAGGAGGAGAAGCUCUGCUUGUUCUGCAUCAAUGGCGCGAGGAGCGUCUACACUAGAGAAGGAGGAAGCUCAAUCAUGUCGAUGCAAUUCGGCCACGGAAAAAAUAAUCGCACGUCCACCAUAUGGAGGAGGAACUGCCCGAGGAGAUUAUCAAUCCGAAGUUCUGCGGCAUAGAUACCUCGUCUGUCCACAGAAGCUUAUCCCUGCUUAUCCUCGCAUCUCACCCUAUCUGCAGCACUAGGACGAACUCUCGGUGAAGUUCCUCGAUCCGGAGUACAUCCGGAGUAUUGCGGGAUAGACAUCUCAUCUGGCCCGUAAGGUUGAUGUCGUCCUAGCAGGUACAGGGAGGAGAUUCCUAGGUUGCGAUUCACUAAUGGAGAAGGCCUACUUAGAUGUAUUGACAGAGAGAAGCAACAUGGAGUUUGACCACUAGCAGCUUGUGAACAAGCUGAAGAACAUAAUAUAUGACAAUAAUUCGCAAUGAAAUUAGGAUGUCAACGAGGUUGGAUUUUCAGACUAAGCAAUGUGUGGCAUCUAAUUCUUCAAUUGUUAUCCUUCCUGCCGUGUUGUCUUAUGUUCGUCCUGUCUACGUAGGAUUUAGUUUAAUGGUUCAGAGUGGCUGUAUCAAUUUCCUAGAUUACCUUGUGUCACUUGUAUCAUUACUACAAAAUAUCAUGUUUUGAUGCACUGGAAUAUGCAUAGUUUAAUACAACCUCGCUCUCAAAAUAAGUGUCUCAAUUUCAGUUUUGAUACACUUAUUUUGGGAUUUAAGGAGUAUGGUACUACAAUUUGGGUAACUGACCAGGAUGUAUUGAGAUUGUGCUUGCGAGCCUGGAUUGAUGUCAUUUUUGUAACUGGACUUAUUCAAUAAAGUUCAGUACAUUCCACUA